AGGCCUACCUUGACUCUUGACCUUGAUAAAUGACUUAAGAGGUGUUAAAAAAGUGGAAGUCUCAUCAAGUGAAAUACCAUAAUUUUUAAGUUUUAAUUUAUUUUACUUACUCCAUGAGUCGGAAACUAGGUAUUGCCCCUCUUUUCAAACCUAAUGUCUACUUUGUGGAUCAAUCCGAGAGGAGAACCUUAUCAUGGUUGGUUAGCUGCUACGAUAUGUCUGUCAAAAGAUAACACAAGUCGUUGAUAAGAUCGAAGAUAACGUAUGUAUCAUGUGCUUCAACAAUAUAAAAGCUCGUUUGAUUCCGAUUUCAUACGAACGUGAAAAUAUGCCUACAAUCCCUAGAUCUUCUAAAAUGAAGUUAGAGGUGUCAAAAUGAUUGCCACAUAAAAGAAACUGGUUUGCAUUAGCCAAGCUAAUCAUAAAUAAUAACUUGCUUUUUUAUCCUCUGAUGUGGGUUCCUCCUCUCAUUAUAAAGCCAAAUUCACCCAAUAAUGGAACAUUCACCCACCCGUGAGUUAGGAUAAGACCAUCACGAGUGAGUUUAGUU
Beta vulgaris subsp. vulgaris (sugar beet) is the source of this 550-nucleotide non-coding RNA. The record is from Rfam. NCBI's taxonomy places the organism in Eukaryota, Viridiplantae, Streptophyta, Magnoliopsida, Caryophyllales, Amaranthaceae.